AUUUCUAUAGCUUAAAUAAGAGUAUAGUACUGAAGAUGCUAGGGUAAUAAUUUUAUUUAGAAGUA
RNAcentral lists this transfer RNA (65 nucleotides) under Ips shangrila. Its description in RNAcentral is "tRNA-Phe". The record is from RNAcentral. Lineage: Eukaryota; Metazoa; Arthropoda; Insecta; Coleoptera; Curculionidae.